RNAcentral lists this long non-coding RNA (766 nucleotides) under Oryctolagus cuniculus (rabbit). RNAcentral describes it as "lncRNA (ENSOCUG00000033012.1)". The record is from RNAcentral. Lineage: Eukaryota; Metazoa; Chordata; Mammalia; Lagomorpha; Leporidae.
UAGUGGUACAUUUAGCAUGUGAUUAUAAGUAAAUUGAAAUUAUGUUAUGCAAAACUUGAAAAGAAGAAGGGGGAAUGAGGGAAGGAAGAAAGGAGAAAAGCAUGGUUACCUUCUGAGAAUUGUAUCUUUGAAAUACAUGAAAUCUGUUCUCUUUAUAUUAAUAAAGAGGAAAAAUAAAUGUAUUAUAACAUCUAUUAUAUGAAAAAUACUAUUAUUCACUCAUUUUUAUGGUGUCAUUACACAAAAAUUGUGCUACUGAAAACUUGGCCUCCACUCUGUUUAGCCACAGUUAUGAUAAAUAGUGCAUUUUAUACUCAAUCUUGAAGUACAAACUUAAAAUGUUAACUAUUUGUUAUUUUUUUCUUCCUAGAAAGCUGAUUUUUCAUCUGAAGAGAGGCCUAAUGGUUUUAGGAUCAGACACAAUAGACAUCGUCACCAUCAUCAAAGAUAUAUACAAGAGCCAUCAUAUCCACAAAAUGCUCCAAUUGACUAUCCAAAUAAUCCAAAUGGCUAUGGCUAUCCAAAUGGUCCUUACCCUCCUGCUCAGUAACCAUAAGACAUGGCAUCACAGGUAAACUCAUCUAGUGACAGGAUUUAGUUUCCAGAAGUGCCAAUGCCAACAGUUAAAAGACAGAAACAAAAGCAAGCCAUCAAACCAAGGACACCCCAGUUUGAGAAGUGUGGCCUAGCACAGCAUUUGUGAAGUGUAUUUAUUUAUACAAUGGUUGUCAGGAGAAAGCUCUGCUCUGCUGGAUUUAAGAGGCUG